Molecule: long non-coding RNA, 619 nt
Organism: Nannospalax galili (Upper Galilee mountains blind mole rat)
Lineage: Eukaryota; Metazoa; Chordata; Mammalia; Rodentia; Spalacidae
Exons: 2
Source: RefSeq, a predicted model, not a curated record
AGCAGUGGAACACAAGCCUGAGGAGGUGUCCUAGCUUGGGAUAGACAUCCAGACUCUUGAAAGAAGAUUUACACUGCUGUCUAGGCUGCUACACAUUCACUGCAAUGCAUGGACAUUCUAGUUGCUGCUGAAAAGUUGAAAGAAGCCCAGAGUAGCAUGCAGAGUCCGGACUGUGAGUCAUCUACCUUCAAUCCAGUCAUCAGUAUUGGAGUAUUCCCAUCCUAUGUGCCCAGACCAGGACAGCAGAAUACAACCUCGAGGAGGCCUCAAAGCCAGGGACAGCCACCCAGGCUGUUGGAACAGUGUUCAGACUCCUGCCUGAACUGACAAUGCCACAGAUGAUACAGAUAUUCUUUUGUUAAUUUUUUGCUGUUGUUGUUGUUAUGGUUUCAGUGUAGAAAAGAAUACCUGUGUUUUUCUUGUUAUGUUAAUCAUCUCCUGGCAUUGCAAAUCAGCAACCAGUUCUUGAAGUUUGACAUUUUCUACUGUAUUUGGAAACUUACUUUAUACGCAUACUCUUACUGUCUUUUCACAGCGAAAUCACGAUGUAAUUCAGUUUUACAAAUGCAAAUAGUUCAACCAAAGUUGCGCUCAGAUAAAUAAAUAUAUUUUAAAUGCA